AAACCAGCACCUCAAGUGGUCAGGAUGAUUAUUGGGCCUAAAGCAUCCGUAGCCUGCUUUGCCAGUUUUCGGUUAAAUCCAUACGCUUAACGUAUGGGCUGCCGGAAAUACUACAAAGCUAGGGAGUGGGAGAGGUAGACGGUACUCGGGAGGAAGUGGUAAAAUGCUUUGAUCUCUCGAUGACCACCUGUGGCGAAGGCGGUCUACCAGAACACGUCCGACGGUGAGGGAUGAAAGCUGGGGGAGCAAACCGGAUUAGAAACCCGUGUAGUCC
Molecule: ribosomal RNA, 274 nt
Filed under: uncultured bacterium
Lineage: Bacteria
Description: partial 16S ribosomal RNA
Rfam family: Archaeal small subunit ribosomal RNA
Source: RNAcentral